This 465-nucleotide ribosomal RNA is filed under the name uncultured bacterium. RNAcentral describes it as "bacterial SSU rRNA". It matches the Rfam family "Bacterial small subunit ribosomal RNA", at positions 30 to 481 of the family's 1533-position model. The record is from RNAcentral.
AUUGAACGCUGGCGGCAUGCUUUACACAUGCAAGUCGAACGGUAACAGGCCUUCGGGCGCUGACGAGUGGCGAACGGGUGAGUAAUGCAUCGGAACGUGCCCAGAGGUGGGGGAUAACGCAGCGAAAGCUGUGCUAAUACCGCAUAUUAUCUGAGGAUGAAAGCGGGGGACUAAGCAGCAAUGUUUGGCCUCGCGCCUUUGGAGCGGCCGAUGUCAGAUUAGGUAGUUGGUGGGGUAAAGGCCUACCAAGCCGACGAUCUGUAGCUGGUCUGAGAGGACGACCAGCCACACUGGGACUGAGACACGGCCCAGACUCCUACGGGAGGCAGCAGUGGGGAAUUUUGGACAAUGGGCGCAAGCCUGAUCCAGCAAUGCCGCGUGCAGGAAGAAGGCCUUCGGGUUGUAAACUGCUUUGUACGGAACGAAAAGGCUCUGGUUAAUACCUGGGGCUCAUGACGGUACCGU